Molecule: long non-coding RNA, 774 nt
Filed under: Anas platyrhynchos platyrhynchos (common mallard)
Lineage: Eukaryota; Metazoa; Chordata; Aves; Anseriformes; Anatidae
Description: lncRNA (ENSAPLG00000022932.1)
Source: RNAcentral
CACUGCUCUGAGCUCCCCCCCUCCCGCUGCAGGGCGGACCAGUUCGAGUACGUGAUGUACGGCAAGGUGUACCGCAUCGAGGGGGACGAGACCUCCAUGGAGGCAGCCACGCGCCUCUCUGCCUACGCCUCCUACGGGGGGCUGCUGAUGCGGCUGCAGGGAGACGCCAACAACCUGCACGGCUUCGAGGUGGAUUCCCGCGUCUACCUGCUGAUGAAGAAGCUGGCCUUCUAGGAGAGGCCGCGCCUCGAGGCUUCCCAGAGACAUUCUGCCAGCAAGAAAACGGGAGCCCCAGCACCCCAAAUCCUGCCCCGGUAUCUGUGCUUCCCGGGUGGGUGCAGGAGGAGGUGUUCUCCUUCCUCACCUUGUUGUUUUUUUGUUUUUUUUUUUAUGCCUCCUGGGAUUUGUGGUCCCCUCCCGCGCAGGGAGAGGUGCCUGAUGCUGAGCAGAGACCACGCUGGGCGCCCCGCGGCCCUGCCUGCUGGUGGUCUCCUCUCACCUCCCUCUUCCUGCGCGUCCCAGGUGGGCUCAGCCCCGGCUGUGCUCAGGGAUCUGGCUGCAUUGGGGCUGGCCGUCAUUUCAGAGCCAUCCCGUGACGGGCCUGGCUCGUUCUUGAUUAAACCAGCACGCGUUUUCUAGGGCUGGCUGAGUUGUGAGGCUGAUGGGGAGCGGGCGGUGCGCCCCCACAGGGACCCCGAGCACUUCCAGAGGGUGACGGGGGGGGGCGCCGGGAUGGCCCCAGAGGCUGCCGUGCUGCUGCUCUCGCUCCUGCAG